AUACGGAGGGUGCAAGCGUUACUCGGAAUCACUGGGCGUAAAGCGCGCGCAGGCGGCUUGGUAAGUUGGAUGUGAAAGCCUACGGCUCAACCGUAGAACUGCAUCCAAAACUGCCAAGCUAGAGUGUGGGAGAGGAAGAUGGAAUUAGUUGUGUAGGGGUAAAAUCCGUAGAGAUAACUAGGAAUACCAAAAGCGAAGGCAAUCUUCUGGAACACUACUGACGCUGAGGCGCGAAAGCGUGGGGAGCAAACAGGAUUAGAUACCCUAGUAGUCC
Molecule: ribosomal RNA, 274 nt
Filed under: uncultured bacterium
Lineage: Bacteria
Description: partial 16S ribosomal RNA
Rfam family: Bacterial small subunit ribosomal RNA
Source: RNAcentral